UCCUUUUCUUUUCUUUCUCCCCAACGCCGUUUCCUUUUUCCUCUCCCCGUGCGCCCGACGCCGACAGUUUCCCCUCUGCUCACGAUUAAAGCCGAAAUCCGAUCCUCUCCUUAUCUCCCUCGUGCGCACGCCCUUAACCUUCUGCCGUCGGCGACGAGAGCCCGACUCUUCUCCUCUUCAUCUUCUUCAUCGCGCCGGCCGUUGUGCCCUAGAUCGGCGCCGCACGGAGCAGCACCGACCCUCCACAGAUCGCCUCUUCUGUGCCGGCCACCAGGUUCGACCUAGCGUCGACCUUUCUCCUCUACCUAGCGCCGGACAACAUUGCCAUUGUCUGGUCCCUGGGCACCGACCGAAGCUUCCCUUUCCCCUUGCGCCAAGCAGUAGCGUUUCUGCCCUAGAUUGGGUCCACAACCGUCGGCGCCUCUUCCCGGUGCCUCUUUCUUUCCAAGCAGUGAGCAACAACCCUAAUUUGGCAGCAACUUUGUGUUUCCAACAGCAGGAACGGCUGUGGAACUUGAGGGUAUUUGGUUUAGAGAGCAGCACCAUUUACCUCGUUUCAGUCAGGUUUAUUGGCUGCAGGUUGUCUCCGGUUGUGGAUUCACACAGGGGCUGAACUUGAGGACGUUGACGCGAGACGAGUAUCUCAGUGUCUGAUUAGAACCAUUCUAUUGGAGGCGAG
Long non-coding RNA from Zingiber officinale, 679 nucleotides. RefSeq lists it as uncharacterized. The transcript has 4 exons. NCBI's taxonomy places the organism in Eukaryota, Viridiplantae, Streptophyta, Magnoliopsida, Zingiberales, Zingiberaceae. The record is from RefSeq and is a predicted model, not a curated record.